Molecule: long non-coding RNA, 850 nt
Organism: Oncorhynchus tshawytscha (Chinook salmon)
Lineage: Eukaryota; Metazoa; Chordata; Actinopteri; Salmoniformes; Salmonidae
Source: Ensembl
GGAUCGUGGUGUUAGAUGUAGGGUGGUGGUGUUAGAUGUAGAGUGGUGGUGUUAGAUAUAGCGGUGGUGGUGUUAGAUAUAGGGGUGGUGAUGUUAGAUAUAGGGUGGUGGUGUUAGAUAUAGGGGUGGUGGUGUUAGAUGUAGGGUGGCGGUGUUAGAUAUAGGGGUGGUGGUGUUAGAUGUAGGAUCGUGGUGUUAGAUAUAGGGUGGUGGUGUUAGAUGUAGAGUGGUGGUGUUAGAUAUAGCGGUGGUGGUGUUAGAAAUAGGGGUGGUGAUGUUAGAUAUAGGGUGGUGGUGUUAGAUAUAGGGUGGUGUUGUUAGAUGUAGGGUGGUGGUGUUAGAUGUAGGGGUGGUGGUGUUAGAUGUAGGGGUUGUGGUGUUAGAUGUAGAGUGGUGGUGUUAGAAGUAGGGUGGUGGUGUUAGAUGUAGGAUGGUGGUAUUACUUAUAGGGUGGUGGUGUUAGAUAUAGAGUGGCGGUGUUAGAUGUAGGGUGGUGGUGUUAGAUGUAGGGUGGCGGUGUUAGAUGUAGGGUGGCGGUGUUAGAUGUAGGGUGGUGGUGGUGUUAGAUAUAGUGUGGUGGUGUUAGAUGAGGGUCAUGGUGUUAGAUAGAGGGUGGUAGUGUUAGAUGUAGAGUGGUGGUGUUAGAUAAGGGUCAUGGUGUUAGAUAUAGGUUGGUGGUGCUAGAUAAGGGUCAUGGUGUUAGAUAUAGGUUGGUGGUGUUAGAUGUAGGGUGGUGGUGUUAGAUGUAGGGGUGGGGGUGAUGUUAAAUAUAGGGUGGUGGUAUUAGAUGUAGCGUGGUGGUGUUAGAUGUAGGGUGGAUGUGUUAGAUGUAGGGUGGGGGGUGUUAGAU